Molecule: ribosomal RNA, 113 nt
Filed under: uncultured bacterium
Lineage: Bacteria
Description: partial 16S ribosomal RNA
Rfam family: Bacterial small subunit ribosomal RNA
Source: RNAcentral
UAGGGAAUUUUCGUCAAUGGGCGCAAGCCUGAACGAGCAAUGCCGCGUGAACGAGGAAGGUCUUCGGAUCGUAAAGUUCUGUUGAAGGGGGAAAAAGAAGCGGAGAGAGGAAA